Gasterosteus aculeatus (three-spined stickleback) is the source of this 73-nucleotide non-coding RNA. NCBI's taxonomy places the organism in Eukaryota, Metazoa, Chordata, Actinopteri, Perciformes, Gasterosteidae. The record is from Rfam.
GGGGGUAUAGCCUCAGUGGUAGAGCAUUUGACUGCAGAUCAAGAGGUCCCCAGUUCAAAUCUGGGUGCCCCCU